CAGGGAGACAACAAAAUGUUUAAUAAUUAUUAUUUUGUCACCUUAGGUCGAUCGGUAUCUCACAUUCUUGAUUUAUCAAGGAUUUUAUUUCCUAAGUUUUUUCUAGGUCACACCCAUUACUUUCCCUGGGCCAUUAGCUCAGGUGGUUAGAGCGCACCCCUGAUAAGGGUGAGGUCCCUGGUUCAAGUCCAGGAUGGCCCAUAUCUCUAUGUUGGGGGUAUAGCUCAGUUGGUAGAGCGCCUGCUUUGCAAGCAGGAUGUCAGCGGUUCGAGUCCGCUUACCUCCACUGAUUACCACCUCAUACAGACUCAAGGAAAUGUUUUGUGUUGUGAUCAAAUUCUGAAAGAAUCUAGCUUCCUAAUGAAAUAAUUCAUUAAGAUGCUGGACUCAUUGAAUUAAUUUCAUUGUUUUCAGAGAACCUUGACAACUGCAUAGAUUAUUUUAAAGACAAUAAGCAUCUUUAAUGAUGCAGAUUUAUUAUUUGUGCAAAUGCAUUAAUAACAAUUCUAUUAAGCUGAUGCUUCA
RNAcentral lists this transfer RNA (525 nucleotides) under uncultured Prochlorococcus sp. RNAcentral's name for it is "partial 16S-23S ribosomal RNA intergenic spacer". The stretch from base 214 to 286 matches the Rfam family "tRNA". Lineage: Bacteria; Bacillati; Cyanobacteriota; Cyanophyceae; Synechococcales; Prochlorococcaceae. The record is from RNAcentral.